CGCACAAUUGGCCCAGCAUCGACCGGGUUUGGGUUUGGCCUAGGUAGGCCGUCAUAGACUGAAUUUGUUCUCCAGUUAAAUAAAGGUUAAGCUCUCUUGGGUAAGGGGCAGUAUUUUUACGUCCGGAUGAAAAGCGUGCCCAAAGUAAACUGCCUGUUACUCAAGCCCAGAAGCUAGGAUAUGCAUAUAAUUGGUCGAUUUGGAUAGAAAACACUCUAAAGUUUCUAACACUGUUAAAAUGAUGUCUGUGAGUAUAACAGAACUGAUAUGGCAGGCGAAACCCGAGGACAAACCAUCCAAAAAAAUUAUAAUUUCCUCAUACCACUGUUUCCAAUGGCUUUCAUGUUUAUUAUGAGGCGAAGUCCUCCCAGAUUGCAGUUCCUAGGGCUUCCACUAGAUGUCAACAGUCUUUAGAAAGAGUUUCAGGCUGGUUUUGGGAAAAAUUUGCUAGAAGUUGUAGUUUUUCUAAGUGGCUCCCAUUUUGGCUGUAGUGUUCCAUUCGCGUGGGUGAAAGCGCGUUCUUUGUUAUUUAUCUCCGGUAAUGAACAUACUAUUCUCCGUCUUAAAUUGUAUCAUUUAUUUGCAUAAUAGGGUACGUGAGGUUUGAUUAUAAACGUUGUUUGACUUGUUUGGAUGAGUUUAUUGGUAACGUUUGGGAUUCAUUUUGUAUGCAUUUUGAAGGAGGGAAACCAAUGGAUUAUUGAAUGAAGCGUGCCAGCUAAACUGAGUUUUUAUGGAUAUAAAGAAGGACUGUAUCGAACAAAAGGACCAUUUGUGAUGUAACUGGGACCUUUUGGAGUGCCAACAGAAGAAGAUCUUCAAAGGUAAGGCAUUUAUUAUAUCGCUAUUUCUGACUUUCGUGUCGCACCUGCCUGGUAGAAAAAAAAUGUCUCAUGUUUUUGUAUGCGGGGCGCUGUCCUCAGAUAAUCGCAUGGUGUGCUUUCGCAAGUUAAAGUGUACUGUUAGCUAGCUAACGUUAGCUGGCUCACUAGCUAACAUUACGUGUAUGAUCGUAUUAUUUGUAUCUCAGAGCCAUUUGCUCUGCUAGUUCUAGCCUAAUGUUAGCUAGCUAACAUUGAACCUGGUUGGUUAGCUACAUGCAGAUUCGAGCAGGGUAGUAAAGUCAUGAGUUGGGAUUAUGGUUCAUUGUUUAGCUAGCUAGCUGGCUAGCUACAUGUUUUAACAAAAGAUUCCAUUAUGCAAGGGCUCCCGAGUGGUGCAGCGGUCUAAGGCACUGCAUCUCAGUGCUAGACGGGUCACUACAGACACCCUGGUUCAAAUCCAGGCUGUAUCACAACCUGCCGUGAUUGGGAGUCCCAUAGGCCGGUGCACAACUGGCCCUUGUUUGGCCGGAGUAGGCCGUCAUUGUAAUGUCAUGAAUGGUGAUUAUGGUUCAUUGUUUAGCUAGCUAGCUACAUGUCUUAACAAAACACUCCACUAUGCAAGUAACCAUUUCGGGUGUGUUCGUAAAUUCAGUCUGGCCAUCUAGUCCGAUUUCAGAGCACUCUCAUCUGAGUGUGCCAGAGCGCAGAAUAACUGAUGAAUUUACAAACGCUCAACACCCAUUGAAUAUGGCCGGUGUCAAUAAAAGUUGUCAAAAAAGAGUAAUUCAAUUGUUGCCAGCAGCACAGUUACAGUCACCAACGCUCUGGAUAACAUGAAAACAGCCUAACCAGCUCUGCUAGUGUGAGUAAAAUGGUCAGAGUUUGGAUGGGGGCUAAAGGUUUGGAGGGUGUGAAUGAUGCUGAAUGAGUAUAAAGAAAGAAGAGUUCUCCAGUAGGUACCAAAACAUUUAAAGACCAUUUUCUCAAAAGUAAGUUUACAAGUUUAUCUACUUUCAAAGCAGAAUUACUUUCCCAUUGUUUCCUCAAAUGCAGUGUAUGAUAUACUAUUUUGUAGCUCUGUGUCUCUGCUUUUAUCGUAUGUAAAAAAAAAAUAAUAAUAAUAAAAUGUUGCGUCAUAAGACAGAAUCAAGGCGGUCCAUCACAUGUCUCUCUAUUUAAGAGUGCAAUUCUUGGGAACAGAUUUCCUAAAUAAAAAUCCUGGUGAUUUUACACAUAAACAAUAAAAACGUCUAAUUAAAACUUGGACACAUAGAGUAUAGGGUACCAUUUGGGAUGCAAACUUCUUUCUGCUCAGAAAUGAUCCUUGCCUCAUUCUGUGUCUUACAUACUCACUGUGUUUAGCAGCUCUCAGCUAGGUUUAUAGUGUAUUAUUACAGUGAGCAAAGCAGGGGAAUUUCCACUGAUUUGUAUGUGUACCAUGUAACCUGCUGUCAUGCUUGUAUCUAUAGCACUGGGCCCAAACAAUCACCACAAAACUAUACACACAAACUAUCUAAGUCAAAUAGGGGAGAAUUGUUGUGCCGUGAGGUGUUGCUUUAUCUGUUUUUUUUAAACCAUGUUUGCUGUUUAUUUGAGCAAUAUGAGAUGGAAGGAAGUUCCAUGCAAUAAUGGCUCUAUACAGUGCCUUCGGAAAGUAUUCGGACCACUUGUUUCAACAUUUUGUUAGGUGACAGCUUUAUUUUAAAAUGGAUGAAAUAGAUUUUUUUCCUCAUCAAUCUACACACAAUACCCCAUCAAGACAAAGUAAAAACAGGUUUUUUAGAUAUGUUUGCUAAUUUAUAAAAUAUUUUUAAAAAUUACAUCACGUUUACAUAAGUAUUCAGACCCUUUACUCAGUACUUUGUUGAAGCACCUUUGGCAGCGAUUACAGCCUCGAGUCUUCUUGGGUAUGACGCUACAAGCUUGGCACACCUAUAUUUGAAGAGUUUCUCCCAUUCUUCUCUGCAGAUGCUGUCAAGCUUUGUCAGGUUGGAUGGGGAGAGUUGCUGCACAGCUAUUUUCAGGUCUCUCCAGAGAUAUUAGAUCGGGUUCAAGUCCGGGCUCUGGCUAGGCCACUCAAGGACAUUCAGAGACUUGUCCCGAAGACAAUGCUGAGUUGUCAUGGCUGUGUCUUUAGGGUCAUUGUCCUGUUGGAAGGUGAACCUUCGCUCAGUCUGAGGUCCUGAGCCCUCUGGAGCAGGUUUUCAUUAAGGAUCUCUCUGUACUUUACUCCAUUCAUCUUAGGCUCGAUCCUGACUAGUCUCCCAGUCCAUGCUGCUGAAAAACAUCCCCACAACAUUAUGCUUGCUAACAUUUCUGAAAAUCUGUUUUUGCUCUGUCGUAAUGGGGUAUUGUAUGUAUUUGGUGAGGGAAAAACAAACAAUGUAAUCCAUUUUAGAAUAAGGCUGUAACGUAACAAAGUGUGGAAGAAGUCAAGUGGUCUGAAUAUUUUUUUGAUACCCACAAGGAUAAUGUGUGUCCUAACCAACAAUUACCGUUCAAAAUCCUAUUUUCCAUAACUCCUAAACCUAACCCUUAACCUAACCUAAACCCCUAACCCUAACCUAAACCCCUAACCUAAACCCCUAACCCUUAACCUAACCCUUAACCUAAACCCCUAACCCUUAACCUAACCCUUAACCUAACCCUUAACCUAACCCUAACCUAAACCCCUAACCCUUAACCUAACCCUAACCUAAACCCCUAACCCUUAACCUAACCCUAACCUUAACCCCUAACCCUUAACCUAACCCUUAACCUAACCCUAACCUAAACCCCUAACCCUUAACCUAACCCUUAACCAAACCCUAACCUAAACCCCUAACCCUUAACCUAACCCUUAACCCUAACCCUAACCUAAACCCCUAACCCUUAACCUAACCCUUAACCUAACCCUUAACCCUUAACCUAACCCUAACCUUAACCCCUAACCUUAACCCCUAACCCUUAACCUAACCCCUACCCCCUAAACCUAACCCUUAACCUAACCCUAACCCUAACCUUAACCCCUAACCCUUAACCGAACACUAACCUUAACUACUAAUCCUUAACCUAACCUUAACCCCUAACCUAACCCUAACCCCUAACGCUAACCUUAACACCUAACCCUAAACCUAAUCCUUAACCUUAACCCCUAACCCUUAACCUAACCCUAACCUUAACCCCUAACCCUAAACCUAACCCUUAACCUAACUCUUAACCACUAACCUUAACCCCUGAACCUAACCCUAACCUUAAUCCCUAACCUUAAACCCUAACCCUAACCUUAACCCUUAAUCCUAACCUUAACACCUAACCCUAACCUUAACCCCUAAUCCUAACCUAACCCUAACCUUAACCUUAACCCCUAACCCUAACCUUAACCCCUAAACCUAACCCUUAACCUAACCCUUAACCUAACCCCUAUCCCUAACCCCUAACCCCUAACCCCUAAUCCUAACCUUAAUCCCUAACCCUAACCUUAACCGCUAGGCCUAUCAGUUGAUCCAGAAGUCUUCACAAGGGUAGUAAAACCAGCAACAUUUGGACAAGUGGGGACAUAUCGCCGGUCUCCACAAGACAAAAAAAAAGUUAUUAAAUAACUUGGAUACAGCUACUAAAUAAAUGGGAGCCCGAGCACAUGAAGUACCGUUAGUUAGAGCCCUCCAGAUGUAUUUCAGCGGGCAGGGUUUCACAACUACAUUAUAGCUGACUUAGCGCUUUUAUAUUGUUGUUUCGCAAGAGGAACAUUAAAGUAAGAUGUCAAGCAGAUUUCUGGACUGCAAUUGAACUGUAUUUUGAUAAUGGCUUGAGAUGUCCAUCCAUUUAAUCUGUUUACGUACCUGAAUUGACUGUUUACGUACCUGAAUGACUGUUUACGUACCCGAAUGACUGUUUACAUACCUGAAUGACUGUUUACAUCCCUGAAUGACUGUUCGGUGAUGGGUUAUUGUAAUGACUCUGUCAUCAUCUUUAGCUAUAGUAAAGGUCGAAGUAUCGCUGAUGUGUUUUUCUGUGUUGGUUUCCCUGGGAGACCAUAAUUGCCUGUUUUAUUCAUCAUGUUGUGAAGGUGUGUUUUUAUGGCCCUGAAAUUACCCCCACACCACAGGGAGGCGCCGUGGGGGAAAACAAAUAUGAUUUCAUGGAUCUUUGGCAUAGAAAGUGCAGAAUACUCAGAAUAUUUCUAGCACUGUGGUGUAGAGCUCUGUUGUUCAUUUCAAAUCAUGAACAAAGGAGUAGUUCUCAAUCAUUUUUUAAUUUUAUUUAACCUUUAUUUAACUAGGCAAAUCAGUUGAGAAAAGAAAAAACUUAUUUUACGAUGACAGCCUACCCCGGCCGAACCCUACCCUAACCCGGACGACGCUGGGCCAAUUGUGCGCAACCCUAUGGGACUCCCGAUUACGGCCGGUUGUGAUACAGC
This 5223-nucleotide long non-coding RNA is filed under the name Salmo salar (Atlantic salmon). RNAcentral describes it as "lncRNA (ENSSSAG00000082205.1)". The record is from RNAcentral. Lineage: Eukaryota; Metazoa; Chordata; Actinopteri; Salmoniformes; Salmonidae.